This 253-nucleotide ribosomal RNA is filed under the name uncultured bacterium. RNAcentral describes it as "partial 16S ribosomal RNA". It matches the Rfam family "Bacterial small subunit ribosomal RNA", at positions 524 to 776 of the family's 1533-position model. The record is from RNAcentral.
UACAGAGGUCUCAAGCGUUGUUCGGAUUCAUUGGGCGUAAAGGGUGCGUAGGCGGCGCGGUAAGUCGGGUGUGAAAUUUCGAGGCUUAACUUCGAAACUGCAUUCGAUACUGCCGUGCUAGAGGACUGGAGAGGAGACUGGAAUUUACGGUGUAGCGGUGAAAUGCGUAGAUAUCAUGAGGAAUACCAGAGGCGAAGGCGGCUACCUGGACAAUUGCUGACGCUCAGGCACGAAAGCGUGGGGAGCAAAAGGG